Molecule: small RNA, 117 nt
Filed under: Marmota monax (woodchuck)
Lineage: Eukaryota; Metazoa; Chordata; Mammalia; Rodentia; Sciuridae
Source: RNAcentral
GCCGGGCACGGUGCUACACACUUGUAGUCCCAGCCACUUGGGAGACUGAGGUUGGAGGAUUGCUUGAGCCCAGGGGAUCAAGGCCAGCCUGGUCAACACAGUGAGCCCUCAUCUCCA